This 1191-nucleotide long non-coding RNA is filed under the name Pavo cristatus (Indian peafowl). Its description in RNAcentral is "lncRNA (ENSPSTG00000008893.1)". The record is from RNAcentral. Lineage: Eukaryota; Metazoa; Chordata; Aves; Galliformes; Phasianidae.
CAUUACAAACCAGCCCACCUUUCAGCAAGAACCAACAUCACCAAGCUUCCCAGUCCGGCAGAGGUUGCUCCCUAUUUGUCUUCUUCUCCACUCAAAGCACCUAUCUGUGGCACAAAUAAUGCUGUGAAACAGAGAGAACAGCAGCACAGAGCUUCGCCUUCCCAAUCCCGGUUUGGGACCACCUGCGUGGUAUGGCACAGGAGCGAGGGUGCUUUGCUCAGCCCCCCAGCCACCCACGCUCCUCCUUUAUUCCCGGCAGGAGGCAUUUGGGAGGUCAGCCCAUGGAUUUCGAUUUCCACUCGAGGUUGUUCAGUCGCAUCACCUUGCAAAGCGGCUACGGGAGAAACAGAACUGCGGGAGGGGGCAUGGACACCCCCGCCUCUCAACGCCCCGAGGCCGCAGAGGCCGCGCUCCGCAGGGGCCGGGCCGAGGGCGGCAGCGCUGGGACGCGCCGUCGGGCGGAGCCGCUCGGCUGCGCGGCGCUUUGAAACAAAAGGGUGGGCUUUUUCUUUCUUUUUUUUCUCUCUCUCCUUUUUUUUUUUUUUUUUUUUUUUUAAUUUCNNNNNNNNNNNNNNNNNNNNNNNNNNNNNNNNNNNNNNNNNNUUUUUUUUUUUAAUUUCCUCUGGAGAAGAACUCCGACCGCCUUUAAAAAAUGAGAGAUUUUAUUUCAUUUUAUUUUUUAUUUUAUUUUUUUCUCUCGGAGAAAACCCGCUCCAUCCCUCCUCUCCCUCCCCACCACGCGCGCUGCUCUCCCCCGUGGCUCCGGGCUGGCACGCGUCCAGGCGGCAGGAUUUUUGGGGUAUUAUUUUUAUUACGACGACGGCGAUGAUUUCCCUCUAUUUCCAUGCACAUUUCGGCUUCAGCUCCCCAAACUCUUUGAUCUCCCCCGCUGUCUCCUUACCCGGAAGAAAACCCGGGGCCGGCUCAGCUGGGAGCUCGGCGCACACGUGGGCGCCCUGGCGCGCCUCCAUGCUCCUGCCAAAUUUAGGCGCACAAAGGGCCCAGGGGGGCCGGCGGGGGGGGGAUGAAAGGGGCCGCCGGCAGGACAUCAAAGCGCCGCCGCCCCGCCCCGCUCCCGCCCUUCCCUAUAUAGGGGGCGCCGCUCCGCACGCAACCGAGGGGGCUGUGAGUGGGGACUGUGGAUUUUGCGUUCUUAGCUCCCUUCCUUCCCCGGCAGCGGGGCUGGGGUAG